AGAGUUUGAUCCUGGCUCAGGACGAACGCUGGCGGCGUGCUUAACACAUGCAAGUCGAACGAUGAACCUGGAGCUUGCUCUAGGGGAUUAGUGGCGAACGGGUGAGUAACACGUGAGUAACCUGCCCUUGACUCUGGGAUAACCUCCGGAAACGGAAGCUAAUACCGGAUACGACGUACGGAGGCAUCUCCUGUACGUGGAAAGAACUUCGGUCAAGGAUGGACUCGCGGCCUAUCAGGUAGUUGGUGAGGUAACGGCCCACCAAGCCUACGACGGGUAGCCGGCCUGAGAGGGUGACCGGCCACACUGGGACUGAGACACGGCCCAGACUCCUACGGGAGGCAGCAGUGGGGAAUAUUGCACAAUGGGCGCAAGCCUGAUGCAGCAACGCCGCGUGAGGGAUGACGGCCUUCGGGUUGUAAACCUCUUUUAGUAGGGAAGAAGCGAAAGUGACGGUACCUGCAGAAAAAGCACCGGCUAACUACGUGCCAGCAGCCGCGGUAAUACGUAGGGUGCGAGCGUUGUCCGGAAUUAUUGGGCGUAAAGAGCUCGUAGGCGGUCUGUCGCGUCUGCUGUGAAAACCCGAGGCUCAACCUCGGGCCUGCAGUGGGUACGGGCAGACUAGAGUGCGGUAGGGGAGAAUGGAAUUCCUGGUGUAGCGGUGGAAUGCGCGGAUAUCAGGAGGAACACCGAUGGCGAAGGCAGUUCUCUGGGCCGUAACUGACGCUGAGGAGCGAAAGCGUGGGGAGCGAACAGGAUUAGAUACCCUGGUAGUCCACGCCGUAAACGUUGGGCGCUAGAUGUGGGGACCAUUCCACGGUUUCCGUGUCGCAGCUAACGCAUUAAGCGCCCCGCCUGGGGAGUACGGCCGCAAGGCUAAAACUUAAAGGAAUUGACGG
This 899-nucleotide ribosomal RNA is filed under the name uncultured Actinomycetes bacterium. Its description in RNAcentral is "SSU rRNA". It matches the Rfam family "Bacterial small subunit ribosomal RNA", at positions 8 to 916 of the family's 1533-position model. The record is from RNAcentral. Lineage: Bacteria; Bacillati; Actinomycetota; Actinomycetes.